This 1972-nucleotide ribosomal RNA is filed under the name human gut metagenome. RNAcentral describes it as "bacterial LSU rRNA". It matches the Rfam family "Bacterial large subunit ribosomal RNA", at positions 3 to 1985 of the family's 2925-position model. The record is from RNAcentral.
UCAAGUAAGUAAGGGCGUACGGCGGAUGCCUUGGCUAUAUCAGCCGAAGAAGGACGCGAUAAGCUGCGAUAAGCUGCGGUGAGGUGCAAGUAACCAUUGACCCGCAGAUGUCCGAAUGGGGAAACCCGGCGUGAGGAGUCACGUCAUCCUCUCAGGAGGAAGGGCACCCGGUGAACUGAAACAUCUAAGUAGCCGGAGGAAAAGGAAUCAAAAGAGAUACCCUGAGUAGCGGCGAGCGAAAGGGGCAGAGCCCAAACCGGGAUGGGAAACCAAUCCGGGGUUGCGGACUGCGAUAAACUGCACGAGCGAAGCAGAAUGAGCUGGGAAGCUCAGCCAGAGAGAGUGAGAGCCUCGUAAGCGCAAGCAGAUGCAGGGAGCAGGAUCCAGAGUACCACGAGACACGAGAAACCUUGUGGGAAGCAGGGGGGACCACCCUCCAAGGCGAAACACUGAUAUAGACCGAUAGCGCAUAGUACCGUGAGGGAAAGGUGAAAAGAACCCCGGGAGGGGAGUGAAAGAGAACCUGAAACCGUAUGUCUACAAGCAGUCGGAGCACUUUAUACGUGCGACGGCGUGCCUAUUGAAGAAUGAACCGGCGAGUUGCUUCAUCCAGCGAGGUUAAGCAGGAAAUGCGGAGCCGCAGCGAAAGCGAGUCUGAAGAGGGCGAGAAGUUGGAGGGAGCAGACCCGAAACCACAGUGAUCUACCCAUGUCCAGGUUGAAGCACAGGUAAAAAUGUGUGGAGGACCGAACCAGUGAGCGUUGAAAAGCUUUUGGAUGAGAUGUGGGUAGGGGUGAAAUGCCAAUCGAACGUGGAGAUAGCUGGUUCUCCCCGAAAUAGCUUUAGGGCUAGCCUCAUGGAGAGAGUACAGGCGGUAGAGCACUGAACAGGGUAGGGGCCUAUCCGGCUACUGAACCUAAUCAAACUGCGAAUGGCUGUACUUAUACAUGGGAGUCAGACUGCGAGUAAUAAGACCCGUAGUCAAGAGGGAAACAGCCCAGACCAACAGCUAAGGUCCCCAAUGCCGUACUAAGUGGCGAAGGAUGUGGAAUUUCGAAAACAACCAGGAUGUUGGCUCAGAAGCAGCCACCAUUAAAAGAGUGCGUAAUAGCUCACUGGUCGAGAGACUCUGCGCCGAAGAUGACCGGGGCUGAAGUACGGAACCGAAGCUUUGGCAUGUACGAGAGUACAUGGGUAGGGGAGCGUUCCUGCAUGGGAGAAGCGGUACCGGAAGGAGCCGUGGACAGGCAGGAAGAGAGAAUGCCGGUAUGAGUAGCGAAAAGAAAGGUGAGAAUCCUUUCCACCGAAAGCCUAAGGGUUCCUGGGCAACGCUCGUCGUCCCAGGGUAAGUCGGGGCCUAAUCCGAGGCGGAGACGCGUAGGAGAUGGACAACAGGUUGAGAUUCCUGUACUGCAUCCGUUCGUUCGAGCGACGGAGUGACGCAAGAAGGAAAGCGCGCGUGCGACUGGAAGAGCACGUCCAAGCAGGUAGGUCGGGAGACAGGCAAAUCCGUCUCCCAUAAGGCCGAGAUGUGAUGGGGAGCUUCUGGAGACAGAAGCGAAGGGGCCGGCACUAUAUUGCCAAGAAAAGCUUCUAGUGAGAACGGAUGCACCCGUACCGAAACCGACACAGGUAGGCAGGAAGAGAAUUCUAAGGUGCGCGGGAUAACCCUCGUUAAGGAACUCGGCAAAAUAUAUCCGUAACUUCGGGAAAAGGAUAGCCUGUAGUCAGUGAAGUGCAGAAACGCACGGAGCUAAGGCAGGCGGCAGAAGAGAGGCCCAAGCGACUGUUUACCACAAACACAGGCGUCUGCUAAAGGGAAACCUGACGUAUAGAUGCUGACACCUGCCCGGUGCUGGAAGGUUAAGAGGACUUGUUAGCGCAAGCGAAGCAGAGAAUUGAAGCCCCAGUAAACGGCGGCCGUAACUAUAACGGUCCUAAGGUAGCGAAAUUCCUUGUCGGGUAAGUUCCG